CCUACGGGUGGCAGCAGUGAGGAAUAUUUUUCAAUUUUCUUUAUACUUAACCAGCCAAUCCUCGUGAGGGAUGAAGGUACAGAGUAUCGUAAACCUCUUUUGUCAGGGAACAAAGGCGGGGACGUGUCCCCGGAUGAGUGUACCUGAAGAAAAAGCAUCGGCUAACUCCGUGCCAGCAGCCGCGGUAAUACGGAGGAUGCGAGCGUUAUCCGGAUUUAUUGGGUUUAAAGGGUGCGCAGGCGGUCUGUUAAGUCAGCGGUCAAAGCCCGGGGCUCAACCCCGGCCCGCCGUUGAAACUGGCAGUCUCGAGUUGGAGAGAGGUAUGCGGAAUGCGCGGUGUAGCGGUGAAAUGCAUAGAUAUCGCGCAGAACUCCGAUUGCGAAGGCAGCAUGCCGGCUCCACACUGACGCUGAGGCACGAAAGCGUGGGUAUCGAACAGGAUUAGAUACCCGAGUAGUC
Molecule: ribosomal RNA, 459 nt
Filed under: uncultured bacterium
Lineage: Bacteria
Description: partial 16S ribosomal RNA
Rfam family: Bacterial small subunit ribosomal RNA
Source: RNAcentral